GGGAAGCAUGCAUCAAUUUAUGAUGGGACCGGGUUCAACAACAGACCCUCAUUCAUACAGCUCUAAAAUCAAUGAUUUUGGAAUGAAGCCUGGCAAAUACAAUGUUAACAAAGCUGCAGCAUUAUAUGGGUUGCCGCUUAGUCCUAUGGAAUAUAGAUCAAUCUUCGGGAGCCAGGAUCUUCUUCCGGAAGCUCAGUAUAUCGUGGAUCCAAAAUAUUCUAAUGGGUGGAGGGAUUUCAACAGAAGCAUGUUUUGGUUAGCUGUUAUUGGGGGCAGCUUGAUAUUGUUGCAUGCUUUGGUCCUUUUUGUUCUAAGACUGAGAAAGGACAGAGAGAAAAAGUGGAGCUAUG
Molecule: unclassified non-coding RNA, 350 nt
Filed under: Hevea brasiliensis (rubber tree)
Lineage: Eukaryota; Viridiplantae; Streptophyta; Magnoliopsida; Malpighiales; Euphorbiaceae
Source: RNAcentral